This 81-nucleotide transfer RNA is filed under the name Ixodes scapularis (black-legged tick). It matches the Rfam family "tRNA". From Rfam's summary of the family: Transfer RNA (tRNA) molecules are approximately 80 nucleotides in length. Lineage: Eukaryota; Metazoa; Arthropoda; Arachnida; Ixodida; Ixodidae. The record is from Rfam by way of RNAcentral.
GCAGUCGUGGCCGAGUGGUUAAGGCGAUGGACUUGAAAUCCAUUGGGGUCUCCCCGCACAGGUUCAAUCCUGUCGACUGCG